Molecule: long non-coding RNA, 1697 nt
Organism: Cyprinus carpio (common carp)
Lineage: Eukaryota; Metazoa; Chordata; Actinopteri; Cypriniformes; Cyprinidae
Source: Ensembl
UGAAAAUUGUGAUUAAAUACUAAUUAAAUAAAUUAAAUAAAGUUUCUUAAUUAUUAUUUUUAUUAAAAAGUUAAAAAAUAUUUUCUUGUAUUCAGAAUUGAAAGUUGAAUUCAAAAUCCACCUUGCCUAAAAACUGAUGGGACGCAUUUGAAUGUACAGUACAUGACACAUCUGUCUGUACUAAUAUAAGUAGUAGGACUUAUAAAUGUGUGCACUUGAAGCUGCUUCUGAAGCACUGCUCCUCUGACUAACUCACACUAUUAAGCCCAGAAGGUGGAAGCCACAUGAAUAACCAUGAAUACUGCACACCGAAGCCAAGCUUUCCCCUUUCACUCACUCAGUCCACAAGCUCCGCCUGUGCUGCCCUAUGCGAGUGUUUGUGUGUUCAGAUUGGGUACCAGCAGGCAGUACAGCCUCUCUUUUUCAGUAUCUCUCUUUCUUUUUCUCCCCCUCCUCCUCCUCCUCUUCCCUCGGUCGCUCAGUGAUUGAGGGAGAAUGUGAGUAAAGAAAAAGAGGCAGGCGUGUUUUAACAGAUGGCUCUUGCUGUCCCGAUUCAGCCAGCUCACUGCCUCUGGUACGAGAGAGAGAGAGAGAGAGUGUGCAAGCAAUGUGAUGACCACAGUGCAACAGGGUGCAGGAAGACAGAUAUCAGGACAGAAGAGGAAAAAGUGCACCGGGACACUGACUUCCCUCCCAAGCCAGACCGGCUCGCUGGUUUGGGGUCUCCGCCGCAGGACAGAAGGGGACAAACUGCCACCUGCCUCCCCUGCAGCUGUGUGUGAGGAAGAGGAAGUAACUGAGGAAGAAGAGCCACCGCUAAACACAACCAUCAUCUAAUUUAGCUGUCAACUGAUGAUUUCAGUUUCUAAUGAAGGUACAAGCACGUUCGUCAAAGAUUAGCACUCGCUUACAAGCAAUCUUUGAUAAGUGUGUAUGUAGCAGCAGCAGUCUGAGAGGUGGGUGGUGUCUGCGUCUUUACUUUGGCACUCAGUUUUUUAAUGCCCAUGUUGAUUUUGGGACUCUGACCAUGGUUAGCCUUCCAUGGCCUAGCCGAUGUUUACACUGAUUGCUUACAUUUGGUUAGUAAAUUCCCACGAUUUUGACAGGUGGCAAAGCGGGACCGGCAGAUUGGGUGCUCUUGCUUGAGUUCUCUCUCUCUUCCUUUGUCUCUCCUUCAUUAUCUCUCCUUUUCUGCUCUAUUUCUCAUCUCCUCCUGCUGUUAACCUCUGUGAAGGGAUGUUCUAGGGCUGAAAGGAAGUUACUGUGCUUACUCAAGGCUAAUGUUGUGGCCGACAUCAGUGGAAUGGAACCAUUUCAUAACUGAUUGGCUCUGAUGCCCAACCACCUUUUUGCCUUUCCCUUUAUAGCAGCAGAUUUGAAAGAAAGAUAGCAGCUGUUUCAUGUGGGCAGAUGUUUGACUUCUGCUGCAUGUGUUUGGGCAGAGACCGGGUGGUUUUGUUUUAUGAACUUUAGCUAAUUACUCAAACUGAUAACAAGGAGCCAAGAUAAGAUCAUUAAAGGUGUGGGUGUUUAUGUGUGUGAUACAUGUUUUUCCCAUGUGGUUCUUGAUAUGAAGAGUCUGAAUGAAAGGUUAAAGUGAACUGAAAUACUGGGCCUAUAAACUUUGGGAUUAAUUUACAUAUAGAAGAAAAUAUACUUGAAAUAAAUAUAGCAUCAUAAUUUUGCUGUUUUUAGAG